This 295-nucleotide long non-coding RNA is filed under the name Triticum aestivum (bread wheat). RNAcentral describes it as "long non-coding RNA (TAES_LNC006402)". Lineage: Eukaryota; Viridiplantae; Streptophyta; Magnoliopsida; Poales; Poaceae. The record is from RNAcentral.
ACAUGACCCUGGCAACAUGCAGCUGAUUAGCCUGGCUAGCAUACAGGCAGGUUGAUUAGCCUGGUCUGGUCUAGGCCGAUAGAAUGGGAUGCAGCUCAGCCAUCAAAUCUAUUUAUUUAAUAUUUAAAGUAUUUGUCUCAGGCCAGGUUUGCAACCAAACAAAAAAAAAGUUGUACGUACAGCUGCCUGGCCAGGCAAAAGUCCUCGUAACCAUACAUGAGUCCAAUUGGGAUAGAAGUUCCAAAUUAUCUGCUUUUUGACCAAGAAAAAAGCUUGUCAUAGGCAACAGCCUAAC